Molecule: transfer RNA, 77 nt
Filed under: Burkholderiaceae bacterium
Lineage: Bacteria; Pseudomonadati; Pseudomonadota; Betaproteobacteria; Burkholderiales; Burkholderiaceae
Description: tRNA-Arg
Rfam family: tRNA
About the family: Transfer RNA (tRNA) molecules are approximately 80 nucleotides in length. Their secondary structure includes four short double-helical elements and three loops (D, anti-codon, and T loops).
Source: RNAcentral
GCGGCUGUAGCUCAGCUGGAUAGAGUACCUGGCUACGAACCAGGGGGUCGUGGGUUCAAUUCCUGCCAGCCGCGCCA